Molecule: transfer RNA, 64 nt
Filed under: Amblyomma geoemydae
Lineage: Eukaryota; Metazoa; Arthropoda; Arachnida; Ixodida; Ixodidae
Description: tRNA-Ser
Source: RNAcentral
AAGCUUUUUAACUAUAUAAGUAUAUAUUUUGAAAAUAUAAAAAAGAGGUUUCUCUAUAAGCUUA